GUUUGCAAGCUGUUACUGUGCUACUGUGAAGCCCUGCUAGAUGAAGCAGAGUUGCUGUGAUGCUUCUUAUAAUCACAUUUGCAGCAGAAAUAUUCAAAUGAAGAUAUUUUUUGCCUGUUUGGAGAAUAGGCAUUUCUUGUCUUCCCUGUGAGUGAACCUUCACAAGAGGUUCUUCUUGAAAAUGGUGCUUUGCCCGCCCGUAGGUUGGCAUUUCACUUCCUAGGUCCAUUGUG
Long non-coding RNA from Tinamus guttatus (white-throated tinamou), 233 nucleotides. RefSeq lists it as uncharacterized. Lineage: Eukaryota; Metazoa; Chordata; Aves; Tinamiformes; Tinamidae. The record is from RefSeq and is a predicted model, not a curated record.